This 251-nucleotide long non-coding RNA is filed under the name Brassica napus (rape). RNAcentral describes it as "long non-coding RNA (BNAP_LNC022069)". The record is from RNAcentral. Lineage: Eukaryota; Viridiplantae; Streptophyta; Magnoliopsida; Brassicales; Brassicaceae.
UAAAAUAACCAAAAUAGCACCUUUCUAAGUUUAUCCUUUGAAAAUUUUAAUUUUUUAAUUUUUCAAAAUUUGAAAUCUUAUCCCCAAAACCUCAUUUCUCAACUCUAAACCCUAAACCCUAAACCCUAAACUCUAAACUCUAAACCCUAAACCCUAAACCCUAAACCCUAAAAUCUAAACCCUAAACCCUAAACCCUAAACUUUAAACCCUAAACCCUAAACCCUAAACCCUAAAUCCUAAACCCCACCCU